Molecule: ribosomal RNA, 253 nt
Filed under: uncultured bacterium
Lineage: Bacteria
Description: partial 16S ribosomal RNA
Rfam family: Bacterial small subunit ribosomal RNA
Source: RNAcentral
UACGUAGGGCGCAAGCGUUGUCCGGAAUUAUUGGGCGUAAAGAGCUCGUAGGUGGCUUGUCACGUCGGGUGUGAAAGCUUGGGGCUUAACUCCAGGUCUGCAUUCGAUACGGGCUGGCUAGAGGUAGGUAGGGGAGAACGGAAUUCCUGGUGUAGCGGUGAAAUGCGCAGAUAUCAGGAGGAACAUCGGUGGCGAAGGCGGUUCUCUGGGCCUUACCUGACGCUGAGGAGCGAAAGCGUGGGGAGCGAACAGG